RNAcentral lists this ribosomal RNA (253 nucleotides) under uncultured bacterium. RNAcentral describes it as "partial 16S ribosomal RNA". It matches the Rfam family "Bacterial small subunit ribosomal RNA", at positions 524 to 776 of the family's 1533-position model. The record is from RNAcentral.
UACAGGGGGGGCAAGCGUUGUUCGGAAUUACUGGGCGUAAAGGGUUUGUAGGUGGCUUGCUAAGUCAGACGUGAAAUCCCUCAGCUUAACUGGGGAACUGCGUCUGAUACUGGCGAGCUUGAGUGCAGGAGAGGAACGCGGAAUUCCAGGUGUAGCGGUGAAACGCGUAGAUAUCUGGAGGAACACCGGUGGCGAAGGCGGCGUUCUGGACUGCAACUGACACUGAAAAACGAAAGCCAGGGGAGCAAACGGG